Molecule: unclassified non-coding RNA, 670 nt
Filed under: uncultured Prochlorococcus sp.
Lineage: Bacteria; Bacillati; Cyanobacteriota; Cyanophyceae; Synechococcales; Prochlorococcaceae
Description: partial may contain 16S ribosomal RNA, 16S-23S ribosomal RNA intergenic spacer, and 23S ribosomal RNA
Rfam family: Bacterial small subunit ribosomal RNA (bases 1-96)
Source: RNAcentral
CCCUUGUGGAGGAGGACGCCGAAGGUGGGGCUAAUGACUGGGGUGAAGUCGUAACAAGGUAGCCGUACCGGAAGGUGCGGCUGGAUCACCUCCUAACAGGGAGACAACAAAAUGUUAAAUAUUAAUUUUGUCACCUUAGGUCGAUCGGUAUCUCACAUUCUUAAUUUAUUUAAGGAUUUUAUUUCCUAAGUUUUUUCUAGGUCACACCCAUUUUUUCCCUGGGCCAUUAGCUCAGGUGGUUAGAGCGCACCCCUGAUAAGGGUGAGGUCCCUGGUUCAAGUCCAGGAUGGCCCAUAUCUCUAUGUUGGGGGUAUAGCUCAGUUGGUAGAGCGCCUGCUUUGCAAGCAGGAUGUCAGCGGUUCGAGUCCGCUUACCUCCACUGAUCACCACCUCUUCCAUAAUUUAAAGAAGGGAAAAUUUUGAGUUGUGAUCAAAUUCUGAACGAAUCUAGCUUCCUAAUAUUUUCAUUAAGAUGCUGGACUCAUUGAAUUAAUUUCAUUGUUUUCAGAGAACCUUGACAACUGCAUAGAUUAUUUUUAAAGACAAUAAGCAUCUUUAAUGAUGCAGAUUUAUUAUUGGUGCGAAUGCAUUAAUAACAAUUCUAUUAAGCUGAUGCUUCAAUUUUUGAAGUUAUUGGUCAAGCUACAAAGGGCUCACGGAGGAUACCUAG